UACCGGCUUUCACUUCCCGCGUACAAAGUUCUGAAACAGAAAUCCCCCCAAUCCCAUCACCAACCCUUGUUUUACCCCCAAAUUCACCCAAUUUUCAACCGUCAUUAUCCGCUGCCGUCAUCAUCGCUCCGUCACGGUUGCGCCCCCGUCGCGCUCUAUUGCUGCCGUAACCCUCGCCGACUUCGAUUCUGACCCCAACCUCAUUGUACAGUCCGCCGUGGUGCUUGGCAACUUCGCCUGUUGCCUUGACGCCGGUGUCCGUGCUGUCCUCGACGCCGGAGCUUUCCCUCACUUGAUCAGGCUCCUCUCUGCCUCCAAUGACAAGGUUGUGGAUGCAACUGCACGUUCUCUACAAAUGAUUUAUCAAUCAAAAUUAUAUUGGCCCCAAAAUAUGACUUUUUCAAGGAAGAGAACUUGGAGUUCCUGCUUUUACUGUUGAAAAGCGAGAAUGAAAAUCUUUCUGCAUUGGGUGCGAGCAUUAUUAUUCAUUCAUGCAAGACAGGUGAAGAACAGAAUAUUUUAUCCUAUGUUGGUGUGUUGGACAAACUCAUCAGCCUUUUGUAUGGUUCUCUAAGCCAGCGAGAUGCUAGUUUGGAGUCCAUAGCUGCGAUUGUUAAAAACAAUUCUGAAGCUGUCUCUAAAUUUGUCGACCUUAGAGGUGGAAGAGCAUUGAGCCCUGUAAUUGAAUUAAGUAAAGACAAAUAUUCUCGGACAAGAUUACUAGCUUGCUUGUGCCUUAUUUGUGUUAAGAAUGCUUCUUCUUGCCAUCUUCAAGACACGGGAAUCAAAACCAAACUGAUAAAUAAUCUGCUUGAAGCUCCAUUUCCAGGUAUGUAAUAAUUUACUUUUGGUUGGGAUUUACAUAGCUGUGACUGAAGAUUAGUUGAAUUUAGAUUAGCCUAUUUUGUUUUGGUAGAUGAAUGUGCAAAUCCAUAUUGGUGUGCUUGUAUAGGUACUUAUUUUGUUACAUUUGGGCAAAUUGGACUCACUUCCUUCAAUGUUUACAUGGUGCUUAGUCUCAUUUCUUAUAGUAUACAGAGGUUUAUCGAUGGUUGUGUAAGAAGCAUUGGAUUGUUAUGGAGAUGGAUUUUUGAAGUAUUCAGGGCUGAAAUUGCCAGAUACAGAAAAAUCAUGGUAUAGUAGAAAUAUCAGCAUUGAAGAUUGUAAGAUGUUGUGUUUGAAGAAUUGUUUAUGUAUGGCUUAUGCAGCUUUGGAUAUAGGUGAAGACACAAGUGGUUGUUUGAUGUGGUUUGGUAUUUAAAUGAUAUUAAAGCCCUGAAUCCAAAUUCUCUUGAAGAUAUUUACUUAAGAAUGGCUGUUACAAAAUUAGGUAAACUAUUCAGAAAAAUAAAUCACAAAAAUCAAAUGUCCGAAAGAAAAAGACUAUCAUCAUAAUUUGUGCGUUAUCUUCUAGUGUUCUAAUCAUAUGCUUGGCUUUCAUCGUCUUUAGAUGGAAGAUGCGAAGGAAAGGUGUAAUAAGUGACCAACAAGAGGAAGAUCCACAAUUGCCUUUGUUUGAUAUGUCCACAAUUUCUUCUGCAACAAAUAAGUUUUCAACCGAUAGCAUUUUGGGAAAAGGUGGCUUUGGUUCGGUAUAUAAGAGCAAGUGGAUAGUAGCUGUUUCUGUUGGUGUUUUCAUUCUUUGGAGCCACGAUAUCGAAAAAGCCUUGUGGAUUUUCGCUUUAUUUUAAAUAUUUUGUGUUAUUAGUGGAUUGUAAUUUAAAUAAAUAUAAGUCCGAAUUUAGUUAU
Non-coding RNA from Arachis ipaensis, 1749 nucleotides. The record is from RefSeq and is a predicted model, not a curated record. NCBI's taxonomy places the organism in Eukaryota, Viridiplantae, Streptophyta, Magnoliopsida, Fabales, Fabaceae.